RNAcentral lists this transfer RNA (72 nucleotides) under Ignicoccus pacificus DSM 13166. It matches the Rfam family "tRNA". From Rfam's summary of the family: Transfer RNA (tRNA) molecules are approximately 80 nucleotides in length. Their secondary structure includes four short double-helical elements and three loops (D, anti-codon, and T loops). Lineage: Archaea; Thermoproteati; Thermoproteota; Thermoprotei; Desulfurococcales; Desulfurococcaceae. The record is from Rfam by way of RNAcentral.
GCCGCCGUAGCUCAGCGGGAGAGCGCCCGGCUGAAGACCGGGUUGUCCGGGGUUCGAAUCCCCGCGGCGGCA